Molecule: long non-coding RNA, 378 nt
Organism: Haliotis rubra (blacklip abalone)
Lineage: Eukaryota; Metazoa; Mollusca; Gastropoda; Lepetellida; Haliotidae
Exons: 3
Source: RefSeq, a predicted model, not a curated record
GGGGCGGUGGGGUAGCCUAAUGGAAUAAUCAUGCUGUCAUCAAAGGAGUUUUUAGUGGUGAGUUUAGUUUUACGUCACUUUUAGUAAUAUUCCAUCAAUAUUACGGCGGGGCACCGAAUGGGUUUGCAUCACACAUUGUACCCAUGUAGAACAAUCGAACCCGGGUCUUCAGCGUGACGAGCGAACGCUUUAACCACUAGGCUAUACCCCACCUGCCCAUUAAAGAGAGGAAACUAACUGGACUACAUGAAGCACUGACGUUGUUGUGUAAAGCAAAGUAUGUCGUUUAAAAAGUAUCAUGUUGUUUAAAGUUAGUAGGUUGUUUAAUACUAGUAUGUAACAAAAUAUAAAUACUCGGUUAUAAAAACACCACAGACA